CAUUCAAAUUUCUGCCCUAUCAACUUUCGAUGGUAGGAUAGUGGCCUACCAUGGUGGCAACGGGUAACGGGGAAUUAGGGUUCGAUUCCGGAGAGGGAGCCUGAGAAACGGCUACCACAUCCAAGGAAGGCAGCAGGCGCGCAAAUUACCCAAUCCCGACACGGGGAGGUAGUGACAAUAAAUACUGAUACGGGGCUCUUUUGGGUCUCGUAAUUGGAAUGAGAACAAUUUAAAUCCCUUAACGAGGAACAAUUGGAGGGCAAGUCUGGUGCCAGCAGCCGCGGUAAUUCCAGCUCCAAUAGCGUAUAUUAAAGUUGUUGCAGUUAAAAAGCUCGUAGUUGAACCUUGGGUCUGGCUGGCCGGUCCGCCUCACCGCGAGUACUGGUCCGGCUGGACCUUUCCUUCUGGGGAACCUCAUGGCCUUCACUGGCUGUGGGGGGAACCAGGACUUUUA
This 454-nucleotide ribosomal RNA is filed under the name Penicillium kewense. RNAcentral describes it as "SSU rRNA". It matches the Rfam family "Eukaryotic small subunit ribosomal RNA", at positions 296 to 754 of the family's 1831-position model. Lineage: Eukaryota; Fungi; Ascomycota; Eurotiomycetes; Eurotiales; Aspergillaceae. The record is from RNAcentral.